AAAUGACGCCACCCUCCAAAGGCGUCGGGGAGCGAUUUCAACUGCUUGCUGGCGAUCAACAAAGACUUGAAUGUUGAUGUAACCUUCGUUUUGAGGGGUGCAGAUAAGAAGAGAAAUCCAAUCAAGUCAAUUAAGUUCCGGCUUUCGAAACCUCGGAGUUUGAGAUCAUGAACCGGCGCAGCACUCAACCGCCCUGAAGGCCAGAGGCCAGUUCUGGAAGGGGAAAGCCGUGCCUUUGGCGUCCCGGACAGCGCCGGGCGGCCCGUUCCGGUUACCUGCAGGGCAGGGCCGCAGUCCUGCGCCCGCCUCCACUUAACCGGAGGGCGCUCGGGCGGCCAGUCCCGGCGCGCUCACCACAUGUUUGAACCCGCGUCUAACACCCGCUGAAAACCUCGCUGUUGUUACCCGGACAAAGCUGUAACCCAAAACCAGGAGUGCCAGUGUGAGGUG
Long non-coding RNA from Orcinus orca (killer whale), 450 nucleotides. RefSeq lists it as uncharacterized. The transcript is spliced from 3 exons. The record is from RefSeq and is a predicted model, not a curated record. NCBI's taxonomy places the organism in Eukaryota, Metazoa, Chordata, Mammalia, Artiodactyla, Delphinidae.